CGAUCUACCCCAAAAAACCAAAAAAAAAUUAACCGAAAAAAUCAAACCGGUAAAAAAAACCGAUUGAACCGAUUAAAAUAUUUAGAAAAAUUUAUGGUUCGGUUCGGUUUCCGGUUUUGGUGUGCCUGAACCGGCCAACCCAAACCAAACCGAACCGGUUCGGUAUCAAAAUGAAAAAAAAAAAUAAACCAAUCGCAGGCUACCUCCUCCCUCCUAUUAGCCAACAACCCUAGCAGACCAUUUAUCAUUUCUUUCCCUUUCACACAGUCAUCCCCUCCCCUCUUAUUAACUAUUUGAUUGCUUUCAUAAUUUGAGGGGUCCCUUACAUUCACAGCUUCCAUGCUCUCUCUGUCUCUCAUCUCUCAAUGUAAAGGAAAAGUAACUGAUUACAGAGGUGAAUUGCUGAUAAUUCUUCCAUUGAUUUACUUGAUUCUCCUUCAUGGGUCACGGCAUAAAAAGAUCCCACCUCGAUUGCCUGAGAGGGAUUAUUUCGGGUCUAGAAGCUGAAGAGUGUCCAGAAAAAUCAAAGCAAUGAUUGCUAAAAACUGAUAUUGUUUUUUUGCAAUUAUUUUUUCCUUUGCAAGAAGUUGUAACAACGAGAACAACGUUAUUGAUUCUUAGAGGAUGGCAUCUUGGCAUUGCAUUUCA
This is a long non-coding RNA of Populus nigra (black poplar), 648 nucleotides long. RefSeq lists it as uncharacterized. The transcript has 2 exons. The record is from RefSeq and is a predicted model, not a curated record. Lineage: Eukaryota; Viridiplantae; Streptophyta; Magnoliopsida; Malpighiales; Salicaceae.